AACGAACGCUGGCGGCGUGCUUAACACAUGCAAGUCGAACGAGAAAAUCCUGGCUUGCCAGGAUGAGUAAAGUGGCGCACGGGUGAGUAACACGUGAGUAAUCUGCCCCUAAGUUAGGAAUAACAUUGCGAAAGCGAUGCUAAUACCUGGUAAGCCCACGACUUCUUCGGUAGAUGUGGGAAAAGGUGGCCUCUGACAUAAGCUAUCACUUAGGGAUGAGCUCGCGGACCAUUAGCUUGUUGGUAGGGUAAUGGCCUACCAAGGCGAUGAUGGUUAGCUGGCCUGAGAGGGUGGCCCCCCACAAUGGAACUGAAACACGGUCCAUACACCUACGGGAGGCAG
This 342-nucleotide ribosomal RNA is filed under the name uncultured Pseudomonadota bacterium. Its description in RNAcentral is "bacterial SSU rRNA". It matches the Rfam family "Bacterial small subunit ribosomal RNA", at positions 29 to 351 of the family's 1533-position model. The record is from RNAcentral. Lineage: Bacteria; Pseudomonadati; Pseudomonadota.